Molecule: ribosomal RNA, 416 nt
Filed under: uncultured bacterium
Lineage: Bacteria
Description: bacterial SSU rRNA
Rfam family: Bacterial small subunit ribosomal RNA
Source: RNAcentral
UGGGGAAUAUUGCACAAUGGGGGAAAGCCCUGAUGCAGCGACGCCGCGUGAAGGAUGAAGUAUUUCGGUAUGUAAACUUCUAUCAGCAGGGAAGAAAAUGACGGUACCUGACUAAGAAGCCCCGGCUAACUACGUGCCAGCAGCCGCGGUAAUACGUAGGGGGCAAGCGUUAUCCGGAUUUACUGGGUGUAAAGGGAGCGUAGACGGAAGUGCAAGUCUGAAGUGAAAGGCUGGGGCUCAACCCCGGGACUGCUUUGGAAACUGUUAGGCUGGAGUGCAGGAGAGGUAAGUGGAAUUCCUAGUGUAGCGGUGAAAUGCGUAGAUAUUAGGAGGAACACCAGUGGCGAAGGCGGCUUACUGGACUGUAACUGACGUUGAGGCUCGAAAGCGUGGGGAGCAAACAGGAUUAGAUACCC